GAGUGUUAUGGCUCUUUCAGAAUUUGUCUAGCAGGCUUUCCAGUUUAUGCUGGAGAGCACCU
RNAcentral lists this small nuclear RNA (62 nucleotides) under Saimiri boliviensis boliviensis (Bolivian squirrel monkey). Its description in RNAcentral is "U7 small nuclear RNA (ENSSBOG00000013365.1)". It matches the Rfam family "U7 small nuclear RNA". Rfam says of the family: Animal histone pre-mRNAs are spliced by a different mechanism than nuclear pre-mRNAs and self-splicing introns. This processing involves the U7 snRNP, which contains only one RNA species: U7. The 5' end of U7 RNA is thought to base-pair to a conserved spacer element downstream of the cleavage site in histone pre-mRNA. Lineage: Eukaryota; Metazoa; Chordata; Mammalia; Primates; Cebidae. The record is from Rfam by way of RNAcentral.